AUGGCUUCAGCGCAGCCGUGGAGGUCUAUGUUCUGCUGCGUCGGAGGCGCGGCGGCGGGGGCGGCCACCGACGACGAAGGGCCGUCGCCGUCUUCCACGCCGAGGCGGAGGAGAGGGGAGCGGAGGACGCUGCUGCCGUCGUCGUCCGCGUCGACGGCGUCCCGGCUCUCCCUGUCCAGCCUGGGGUCGACGGGCACGCUGACGCCGGAGGACCUCUCGCUGACGCUCUCCGGCUCCAACCUGCACGCCUUCACCUACGCCGAGCUCAGGGCGGCCACCGCCGGCUUCUCCCGCUCCAGGUACCUCGGCUGCGGCGGCUUCGGGCCCGUGUAUAAGGGCCAGCUCGCCGCUGAGCUCCGGCCGGGCCUGGAGGCGCAGACGGUCGCCGUCAAGUACCUCGACCUCGACUCCAGCUCGCAGGGCCAUAACGAGUGGCUGGCGGAGGUGUUCUUCCUUGGGCAACUGAGGCACAGGAACCUGGUGAAGCUCGUCGGGUACUGCUACGAGGAGGAGCACCGGAUGCUGGCCUACGAGUACAUGGGCACCGCCAGCCUGGAGAAGCACCUCUUCAGAAGCAUCGACGGCCCCAUGCCGUGGAUGACGAGGAUGAAGAUCGCCGUCGGCGCCGCCAAGGGCCUCGCCUUCCUCCACGGCGCCGACACGCCGGUCAUCUUCCGCGACCUCAAGGCGUCCAACAUCUUGCUCGACUCGGACUAUACCGCCAAGCUGUCCGACUUCGGCCUGGCCAAGGAUGGGCCCAACGGCGACGCCACCCAUGUCACGACACGUAUCAUGGGGACACAUGGAUAUGCCGCACCAGAGUACAUCAUGACGGGGCAUCUAACCGCUAAGAGCGACGUUUAUAGCUUCGGCGUGGUGCUCCUUGAGCUGUUAUCGGGUCGGCGGUCCAUUGACCGUGCUCGACGUUCCAGGGAGCAAAGCUUGGUUGACUAUGCCAGACCUUACCUCAAGAAGCAGGACAAGCUGCAUCGGGUCAUGGAUCCGGCUUUGGAAUGCCAGUACUCGUGUCAGGGGGCCGAACUGGCUGCACGUGUAGCGUACAAAUGCUUGAGCCAAAACUCAAAGUUGAGGCCCACCAUGAAAGAGGUCGUUCAGGCCCUAGAGCCCAUACUGAAGAUGGAUGACUACCUACAAGUGGGUCCAUUCGUGUUCACAGUCGUAGUGGAAAAUACCGAUAGAAACGUUGAGAAGAAAGAAAAGCUUAUUGAUGAUGAGUGGAAGGCUGACAUGAAGGUUGAGAAGAUUGUAGAGGACAAGCACCAGAGCCACCAAGAUCGACACCGGCAAAAGUUCCCAAACUCAAUGAUACACGCCGACAUUUUGCUGCAACGGGAUGGUGCCAUCGGGCCGUAUACCACUGCGCUACAACGUCACCGAAGAGCAUCAAGUUACACCGAGGAAAGGGGUGCAUAG
Molecule: ribosomal RNA, 1434 nt
Filed under: Triticum aestivum (bread wheat)
Lineage: Eukaryota; Viridiplantae; Streptophyta; Magnoliopsida; Poales; Poaceae
Description: partial small subunit ribosomal RNA
Source: RNAcentral